This 442-nucleotide ribosomal RNA is filed under the name uncultured bacterium. RNAcentral's name for it is "partial 16S ribosomal RNA". It matches the Rfam family "Bacterial small subunit ribosomal RNA", at positions 338 to 795 of the family's 1533-position model. The record is from RNAcentral.
CCUACGGGGUGCAGCAGUAGGGAAUCUUUCACAAUGGGCGAAAGCCUGAUGGAGCAACGCCGCGUGCAGGAUGAAGGCCUUCGGGUUGUAAACUGCUUUUAUAAGCGAGAAAUAUGAUGGUAACUUAUGAAUAAGGAUCGGCUAACUACGUGCCAGCAGCCGCGGUCAUACGUAGGAUCCGAGCAUUAUCCGGAGUGACUGGGUGUAAAGAGUUGCGUAGGUGGCAUAAUAAGUAGCUAGUGAAAUCUGGUGGCUCAACCAUUCAGACUAUUAGCUAAACUGUUAAGCUCGAGACCGUUAGGGGUAACUGGAAUUUCUAGUGUAGGAGUGAAAUCCGUAGAUAUUAGAAGGAACACCAAUAGCGUAGGCAGGUUGCUGGGACGGUUCUGACACUAAGACACGAAAGCGUAGGGAGCAAACGGGAUUAGAUACCCGAGUAGUC